GGGGGCGAUCAGGUUUCGACGUGGUCGGUACUCCGGCAGAGCUGCAAGCCGAGGUCCCCGGUCGGCCUCGUUAAUCAACCGGGAACAUGUAAGUGCGGAUCGUGAACUCGCACUCGCUGCCUAACUGAGUUAGGCCAGCGCGUCGCACCGGCCUCGGCCCGUGGGUCGGAUACGCGGCGUCAGAAACGGGCUUACCGCCGAGGGAGAGCCACUCGCCCGAGGUGGGACACCGAAGGAGGGCUAGCCCGUCGAUUGGCCGCCUGCGAGCCGGCCGGCGGGCGAAUCUGAAUCGCAGGAGAAGCUUGUGGAGGCUCUGACCGGUGCGUCCGCGGACGCGGGUUCGAUUCCCGCCGCCUCCAUCA
RNAcentral lists this transfer-messenger RNA (362 nucleotides) under Gaiellaceae. Its description in RNAcentral is "JACVSB01 sp013697275 Standard tmRNA". It matches the Rfam family "transfer-messenger RNA". Rfam says of the family: Bacterial tmRNA, also known as 10Sa RNA or SsrA, is named for its dual tRNA and mRNA-like properties. Its role is to liberate the mRNA from a stalled ribosome. Lineage: Bacteria; Bacillati; Actinomycetota; Thermoleophilia; Gaiellales. RNAcentral also lists the same sequence under 1 other name. The record is from RNAcentral.